This 245-nucleotide ribosomal RNA is filed under the name uncultured Paraprevotella sp. Its description in RNAcentral is "partial 16S ribosomal RNA". It matches the Rfam family "Bacterial small subunit ribosomal RNA", at positions 524 to 768 of the family's 1533-position model. Lineage: Bacteria; Pseudomonadati; Bacteroidota; Bacteroidia; Bacteroidales; Prevotellaceae. The record is from RNAcentral.
UACGGAAGGUCCGGGCGUUAUCCGGAUUUAUUGGGUUUAAAGGGAGCGUAGGCGGGCCUUCAAGCCGGCCGUGAAAUCCCGUGGCUCAACCACGGGACUGCGGUCGGAACUGCAGGCCUUGAGUGCGCGCAGCGGCGCCGGAAUUCGUGGUGUAGCGGUGAAAUGCUUAGAUAUCACGAAGAACUCCGAUCGCGAAGGCAGGUGCCGGGAGCGCAACUGACGCUGAGGCUCGAAAGUGCGGGUAU